GCGUGAGUGAAGAAGGCCUUAGGGUUGUAAAGCUCUUUCGCUGAUGAAGAUGAUGACUGUAAUCAGUAAAGAAGCCCCGGCUAACUCCGUGCCAGCAGCCGCGGUAAUACGGAGGGGGCUAGCGUUGUUCGGAAUUACUGGGCGUAAAGCGCACGUAGGCGGCGUACCCAGUCAGAGGUGAAAGCCCGGGGCUCAACCCCGGAAUUGCCUUUGAUACUGGUAUGCUUGAGUUCGGAAGAGGGUAGUGGAAUUCCAAGUGUAGAGGUGAAAUUCGU
Molecule: ribosomal RNA, 275 nt
Filed under: uncultured bacterium
Lineage: Bacteria
Description: partial 16S ribosomal RNA
Rfam family: Bacterial small subunit ribosomal RNA
Source: RNAcentral